UGUGAAAUUAUGCUGUGUUCAAGACAACUGGGAACUUGGAAAUCUCCGGCAUCCGACUUCAGUGCAUUCAAGGGCUUGUAACUAAGCAUUUCACGGUGCUGAUCUCCCUCUAUCCUCCCUACGUCUCCUGGUGCCAUCACUACAUCUGAAGUCUGCUUUCAUGUGGCAAGUGGCUCAGCAGCAUGACGUGAUGCAGUAUGGGAAGCUGGAGGAGUUUGUGACUGGUAACAGAGAUGGUUCUGGAGCUGCUGACCUUAAGGCAGAGGGUCCAACUCAUCCUGGGACUGAGAGCGAGGACAGCAUCUAUUCUCAACCUGACCCCUACUGACCUGGAGGAGUGUGAGCAGUCUGUCUCUGUCUCUGAACCAGAGCAUCUGAAGACACUGCUGCAGCAUCAUAGACAUCCUGGGCACCUUAAAGAAGCUAAGGAUCCCUCAGAUGUUCUCUUCUACGAUUCUGAUACCAUCCUGUCCACGUUGUUCCUCCUCAUUCCCUCACUGGAGUCUAAACCGACCCAGAGAGGUGGAGGAAAGGGCAGGUUGAAGACAGUGAUGUGACGACAGAAGGGGUGAAGAACUAGUCUGGUGAGAAGGGACAGCAAGAAGUCAGCGGGGAAGAUGAAGACACCAAUGAGGAAAGUGAUGAGGACACUAAAAGACUGGAAGAGGCUGGGAACUCUGGGCAGCAGAAACGGCCAUCAUCAGGGGCCGUCAAUGGUAUUGAGAUUAAGGACAGAAUACUUUGCAUAGAUACUGAGUAUACAAAACAUUUAAGAACACCCGACUGACUUAUGAAAAAUGCUAUGAUUUCUUAUUG
Oncorhynchus tshawytscha (Chinook salmon) is the source of this 816-nucleotide long non-coding RNA. NCBI's taxonomy places the organism in Eukaryota, Metazoa, Chordata, Actinopteri, Salmoniformes, Salmonidae. The record is from Ensembl.